RNAcentral lists this ribosomal RNA (590 nucleotides) under Bacillus sp. CH407b_13C. Its description in RNAcentral is "bacterial SSU rRNA". It matches the Rfam family "Bacterial small subunit ribosomal RNA", at positions 61 to 632 of the family's 1533-position model. The record is from RNAcentral. Lineage: Bacteria; Bacillati; Bacillota; Bacilli; Caryophanales; Bacillaceae.
GUCGAGCGGAUUGAUGGGAGCUUGCUCCCGUCAGUCAGCGGCGGACGGGUGAGUAACACGUGGGUAACCUGCCUGUAAGACUGGGAUAACUCCGGGAAACCGGGGCUAAUACCGGAUAACUCAUUUCCUCGCAUGAGGAAAUGUUGAAAGGUGGCUUUUAGCUAUCACUUACAGAUGGACCCGCGGCGCAUUAGCUAGUUGGUGAGGUAACGGCUCACCAAGGCGACGAUGCGUAGCCGACCUGAGAGGGUGAUCGGCCACACUGGGACUGAGACACGGCCCAGACUCCUACGGGAGGCAGCAGUAGGGAAUCUUCCGCAAUGGACGAAAGUCUGACGGAGCAACGCCGCGUGAGUGAUGAAGGUUUUCGGAUCGUAAAACUCUGUUGUUAGGGAAGAACAAGUACCGUUCGAAUAGGGCGGUACCUUGACGGUACCUAACCAGAAAGCCACGGCUAACUACGUGCCAGCAGCCGCGGUAAUACGUAGGUGGCAAGCGUUGUCCGGAAUUAUUGGGCGUAAAGCGCGCGCAGGUGGUUCCUUAAGUCUGAUGUGAAAGCCCACGGCUCAACCGUGGAGGGUCAUUGGAAA